Molecule: long non-coding RNA, 1761 nt
Organism: Helianthus annuus (common sunflower)
Lineage: Eukaryota; Viridiplantae; Streptophyta; Magnoliopsida; Asterales; Asteraceae
Exons: 8
Source: RefSeq, a predicted model, not a curated record
AUCUAGGGUUUCACAUUCAUUCAUUUCAAAACAUUUCAAAGCAUAUCACCGCUCCCUGCUCCUCUCUCUCUCUCUCUCUCUCUCGUGAUUUCACCAGAUGUAUGAAGUUUCAGCAGAUCGAUGAAGAUUCUAGCCUCCUGGUUUCGAUUUCUGGCUUUUAUUGGCUUUAUUUCAUCCCUAAUUUCUCUUCCCUUUCGUCUUCCUUCUUAAGAAGAGCAAUAUCCAUCUUCAAGAGGUUAUUCAUAGGCUUGCUCAGAUCGACGGAGAAGAGUUGCAACGGAGAGGAGGUGCAACUGAGACUUUUAGAUCUGCGAUCCCCAAACCCUAAUACGGUAAAACUUUUAGAUCUGGUAUGUUUAUAUGCAGGUUGGGGGAUUUUGAUUUCAGGUCAUUUCCGGCUGUUGUUCUAUCUUCACAUUUAGAAAAUCUUUUUUUUACCUCAUGAAUUAUUACUCUUUGAAUAACUUGCUGGUUUUUCAAAGAAAAGAAAUAAGAGGCUGCAUUGGCAACCAAGAGGCUAAAAGAUUUUCUGAAAGCAUGCAACUCUAUAGAUGAUGGUUGCUCAAAAGUAUACUAAUGAGGGCCAACGAAGCCUUGCAUUUGCCACACAAAUGGAAAAGCUUCCAGAUAUUAGGGGCAACCCGUUAUUGCUGUUGGCGUAGGGCGCAGUACAUACGAUAAAGCAUCAAUACAUUACUAUGUUCAGUCACACAUCCAGAUAAAUGAAUACAGAUACCGGAUAAUAUUGUCGGCUGCAACGAAGAAGUUUGAGCGGCAUAUUAGCACCUGUGUCAAGGUUCUAGAUAUGAAAAACCUUAAUCAGAUGGCCUGUAUGUUUUGCCUAAGUUUUGGCUUUGAUAUUUAAGUAUUAGAAAUUUUUGGUCUCAAAGGUUUGUCACUCUGUGUUGGAUUUGGUCGUUAACACUGGUUGAUGUUAAACAUAGGUUUUAAAAUGAUCCGCAAGCCAAUCUUGUUGAUGAGAUUUCAAAUCUCAGUUAUGAUAAUGCCACCACCGGUGCCACAAUGACGUUUAGUGGUCGGUUAGGGUGGACGAGGCGCCGACAAUAUGAGUAUUUUAUUUUCCAUUGACAUUUUUUCAUCAUGUUUUAGUUAUUUACGGGUGUUACAAACCGUUUGCUGAAUUUGACAAGCACUUUAUUUCAAAGCGCAAGAUGAUUCAUAGGCUGCUCGGUGGUGUUUUGGUAGGAACAACUGACUAACAAUCUCUGGUUAUUUUAGGGCCUAUUUUGACAUGGUUCGGGGCUCCUGUGAAAAAGGAGCUCGAAGAACUUGAUUUACUCAUAUUUGAUGGCACAAAAGACGACUCUCAGUCUGUCACCUAAGGUUGGUACGUGGUGGGCAAUGGUACGGGUGUUCACCUCAAACUCAAAAGAAGCAGGCUGGACGGUUCAGCACCAACUCAGACAAGCUCAAGAAAAUGUCUUAAAACAGUCUCAAGUUGGCUCAACCAGAGGACGUGUUUGACGUCGUGAGGGACAUUCAUGACUUGGCUGGUCAAUGUGGGCUCCUUGCUGACGUGCCUUAUGUUUUAACAUCAUCGUUUACAAACUUAAUUCAGUAAGAUGUACAUGUAGUUUCUAGAAUAUGAUUGAUAACCUACCGUUUUAAGCUUGGAAUAAAGCUCUUAUAGAAUACAAGUUUUUUGGUCAUGUGCUAAUUAGGGUGUUUUAGAACAUUAAAAAUGUAAAAAGAAUCUUGUUUAAUCGAUGAUUAUAGAUUGGGUUUAUCCAUAAAACUCAA